Molecule: ribosomal RNA, 422 nt
Filed under: uncultured bacterium
Lineage: Bacteria
Description: bacterial SSU rRNA
Rfam family: Bacterial small subunit ribosomal RNA
Source: RNAcentral
GAAUUUUGCGCAAUGGCCGAAAGGCUGACGCAGCAAGGCCGCGUGGGUGAAGAAGGCCUUCGGGUUGUAAAGCUCUUUUGUCCGGAAAGAAAAGCUUUCGGUUAAUACCCGGAAGUCCUGACGGUACCGGAAGAAUAAGCACCGGCUAACUUCGUGCCAGCAGCCGCGGUAAUACGAAGGGUGCAAGCGUUACUCGGAAUUACUGGGCGUAAAGCGUGCGUAGGUGGUUUGUUAAGUCUGAUGUGAAAGCCCUGGGCUCAACCUGGGAAUUGCACUGGAUACUGGCAGGCUAGAGUGCGGUAGAGGAUGGCGGAAUUCCCGGUGUAGCAGUGAAAUGCGUAGAGAUCGGGGGGAACAUCCGUGGCGAAGGCGGCCAUCUGGACCAGCACUGACACUGAGGCACGAAAGCGUGGGGAGCAAAC